This 736-nucleotide ribosomal RNA is filed under the name Bacillus cereus. RNAcentral describes it as "bacterial SSU rRNA". It matches the Rfam family "Bacterial small subunit ribosomal RNA", at positions 41 to 759 of the family's 1533-position model. The record is from RNAcentral. Lineage: Bacteria; Bacillati; Bacillota; Bacilli; Caryophanales; Bacillaceae.
GGCGUGCUAUACAUGCAAGUCGAGCGAAUGGAUUAAGAGCUUGCUCUUAUGAAGUUAGCGGCGGACGGGUGAGUAACACGUGGGUAACCUGCCCAUAAGACUGGGAUAACUCCGGGAAACCGGGGCUAAUACCGGAUAACAUUUUGAACCGCAUGGUUCGAAAUUGAAAGGCGGCUUCGGCUGUCACUUAUGGAUGGACCCGCGUCGCAUUAGCUAGUUGGUGAGGUAACGGCUCACCAAGGCAACGAUGCGUAGCCGACCUGAGAGGGUGAUCGGCCACACUGGGACUGAGACACGGCCCAGACUCCUACGGGAGGCAGCAGUAGGGAAUCUUCCGCAAUGGACGAAAGUCUGACGGAGCAACGCCGCGUGAGUGAUGAAGGCUUUCGGGUCGUAAAACUCUGUUGUUAGGGAAGAACAAGUGCUAGUUGAAUAAGCUGGCACCUUGACGGUACCUAACCAGAAAGCCACGGCUAACUACGUGCCAGCAGCCGCGGUAAUACGUAGGUGGCAAGCGUUAUCCGGAAUUAUUGGGCGUAAAGCGCGCGCAGGUGGUUUCUUAAGUCUGAUGUGAAAGCCCACGGCUCAACCGUGGAGGGUCAUUGGAAACUGGGAGACUUGAGUGCAGAAGAGGAAAGUGGAAUUCCAUGUGUAGCGGUGAAAUGCGUAGAGAUAUGGAGGAACACCAGUGGCGAAGGCGACUUUCUGGUCUGUAACUGACACUGAGGCGCGAAAG